GACGAACGCUGGCGGCGUGCUUAACACAUGCAAGUCGAACGUGAUUUUUGUGGAAAUUCUUUCGGGAAUGGAAAUGAAAUGAAAGUGGCGAACGGGUGAGUAACACGUGAGCAACCUACCUUACACAGGGGGAUAGCCGUUGGAAACGACGAUUAAUACCGCAUGAGACCACAGAAUCGCAUGAUAUAGGGGUCAAAGAUUUAUCGGUGUAAGAAGGGCUCGCGUCUGAUUAGCUAGUUGGAAGGGUAAAGGCCUACCAAGACGACGAUCAGUAGCCGGUCUGAGAGGAUGAACGGCCACAUUGGAACUGAGACACGGUCCAAACUCCUACGGGAGGCAGCAGUGGGGAAUAUUGCACAAUGGGGGGAACCCUGAUGCAGCGACGCCGCGUGAGCGAAGAAGGUUUUCGAAUCGUAAAGCUCUGUCCUAUGAGAAGAUAANGACGGU
Molecule: ribosomal RNA, 447 nt
Filed under: uncultured bacterium
Lineage: Bacteria
Description: bacterial SSU rRNA
Rfam family: Bacterial small subunit ribosomal RNA
Source: RNAcentral